UGAUAGACAUCAACCUAGCUCAUCUAGAGGUAAAGUGCAAAUGACGGAGUACUUGAAAUUGGAUGCUCCUAAAUAUAACACGGGAGAUGAUCCAUUUGAAUACCUCAGAUCAGUUAGGAUGAUAACGAGUGAAUUGGGAGCUGAUGAUAGUAGGGCCAUUGAGAUGGCAGGGUUUACACUUAAAUGCAAGAAAGCCAGAG
RNAcentral lists this long non-coding RNA (200 nucleotides) under Manihot esculenta (cassava). RNAcentral describes it as "long non-coding RNA (MESC_LNC002164)". Lineage: Eukaryota; Viridiplantae; Streptophyta; Magnoliopsida; Malpighiales; Euphorbiaceae. The record is from RNAcentral.